This 2553-nucleotide ribosomal RNA is filed under the name Triticum aestivum (bread wheat). Its description in RNAcentral is "partial small subunit ribosomal RNA". The record is from RNAcentral. Lineage: Eukaryota; Viridiplantae; Streptophyta; Magnoliopsida; Poales; Poaceae.
AUGCCUCCCCUCCACAUACUGCUCGGGCUUCUCCUCUUGCUCACUCCUCCUCCUUGCUGCUCCUCUGCAGCUGCAAAUGGAGACAAGCUGCCGGCAGGCCAAGCUCUCGCUGUUGGCAGCAAACUCGUCUCCAGAAACGGCAAGUUCGCGCUCGGCUUCUUCCAGCCAGCAGCUGCUGCGGGCAGCAUCAGUAAGUCGCCCCACAAUGCCACCUCCCCGAGCUCAGGCUGGUACCUCGGCAUAUGGUUCAAUAAGAUCCCGGUUUUCACCACUGUGUGGGUCGCUAAUAGGGAAGAACCCGUCGUCCACCACAACCUCAAUCAAACACAGCUCAAGAUAGCAAGCGAUGGCAAUCUUGUCAUCGUACUAACCCAUGCCAGCAACACCGAGUCCGUAGUUUGGUCCACUCACAUCGUCAACAAUAUGACACAAGCCAGCAAAAAAAACACCACCACUACUAGUGUCGCCCUUCUCUUGAACAAUGGAAACCUUGCCCUCACAUCUGAACAGAAGGUGUUGUGGCAGAGCUUCGACUACCCAACAGAUGUAGUGCUUCCUGGCUCUAAGUUCGGCCGGAACAAGAUCACUAGUUUUAGCAGCCAACUCAUCUCAAAGAAGAGCCUCAUUGAUCCUGGUUUAGGGUCAUACAGUCUUGACCUAGAAGAUAUCAAGGGGUUCGUCCUCAAACGCCGCAAGAACCCAUCAAUAGUGUAUUGGCUUUAUGAAUCCUCCACAACAUCAGCAAUGAAUCUUUUGCCACUAGCCAAGGCACUGCUAGAUUUGAAUCCUCAGACCAAAGGUUUACUUAACAUAACAUAUGUUGAUAACAACCGAGAGGAGUACUACAUGGGCACUUUACGAGAUGAAUCCUCGGCUUCCAUGUUUGGCUUACUAGACAUCUCUGGUCAGAUAAAGCUGAAUCUUUGGUCGCAUGCCAGCCAGUCUUGGCAGACAAUAUAUGCCCAACCAGACAAUCCGUGUGAGCCACCUGCAACCUGUGGACCUUUCACGGUCUGUAGCAGCAAGCCACAUCCAUCCUGUGACUGCAUGGAGAGCUUCUCUCAGAAAUCACCACAUGAUUGGGAGUUUGAUGACCGAACAGGAGGAUGCACUAGAAAUACACCAUUACAUUGCACUAGUGACAAAAACAUGACAAGUUCAACAGACAUAUUCCACCCCAUUAAUCAAGUUCAACUUCCCUACAACCCACAAAGCAUAGUCGCUGCCACCACCCAAAGCAAAUGUGAAGAAGUUUGUCUCAGUUCCUGCUCAUGCACUGCUUAUUCCUAUAACAGUAGAAGAUGCUCUGUCUGGAAUGGGGAAUUACUUAGUGUAUUUCAGACUGAUGAUACUGGAGAACAUGUUCUUUACCUUCGUCUUGCCGCCAAAGAUUUGCGGCCAACUUUGAGAAACAACAAAAGAAAACCAACCAUUGGAGUUGUUGCUACUGCAAGCAUGAUUGGUUUUGGGUUAGUAAUGAUCAUGGUGUUCUUACUGAUUUGGAGGGACAAAUUCAAGUGGUGUGGUUUGUUGCCAAUUCACUAUGACCAUCAAGCUAGUGUUGGUGGGAUUAUAGCUUUUAGGUACACAGAUUUAGUUCGUGCUACUAAAAACUUCUCAGAAAAGCUAGGUGGAGGUGGUUUUGGUUCUGUAUACAAGGGAGUGUUAAGUGACUCAAAGACCACUAUAGCGGUGAAAAGACUUUAUGCUGCCCAUCAAGGAGAGAAGCAAUUCAGAGCUGAGGUGAGCUCAAUUGGGAUGAUCCAACACAUCAACCUAGUCAAACUGAUUGGUUUCUGUUGUGAAGGUGAUCACAGGUUGCUUGUGUAUGAACAUAUGUUAAAUGGGUCUCUUGAUGGUCAUCUAUUUAAGGUGAGCAAUCAUGAUGAUGAUGAUGCCCUAAAUUGGAGCACCAGAUACCAAAUAAUCCUUGGAAUUGCUAGAGGGUUAUCAUACUUGCAUCAAAGUUGCCACAAAUGCAUCAUACAUUGUGAUAUUAAGCCGGAGAACAUAUUGGUGGAUGGAUCAUUUGUUCCUAAAGUUGCAGACUUUGGGCUAGCAUCAUUUGUUGGAAGGGAUUUUAGCCGAAUCCUGACUUCAUUCAAAGGAACUACAGGUUAUCUUGCCCCGGAGUGGCUUACCGGAGUUGCUAUCACACCGAAAAUCGAUGUUUACAGCUUCGGCAUGGUUCUGCUGGAAAUCAUAUCAGGAAGGAGGAAUGCGUCACCUGAAACAUCAUACAACACUAGCAGCUGCAACAACAACAACACCCACCAACAUGUUGAAUAUUUCCCAGUCCAAGCCAUCAACAAGCUUCACAGCGACGAUGUGAAGAGUUUGGUGGAUCCACGGCUAAACGGUAACUUCAAUUUGGAAGAGGUUGAAAGGGUUUGCAAAAUUGCUUGUUGGUGCAUCCAAGAUAAUGAGUUUGAUCGGCCGAUGAUGGGUGAAGUGGUCCGGGUUCUAGAUGGUCUGCAAGAGAUUGAUGUGGCCCCAAUGCCAAGACUACUCGCAGCUAUAACGGAACAAUCUGGUGCUGCAACUUCUAUGUAA